This 253-nucleotide ribosomal RNA is filed under the name uncultured bacterium. RNAcentral describes it as "partial 16S ribosomal RNA". It matches the Rfam family "Bacterial small subunit ribosomal RNA", at positions 524 to 776 of the family's 1533-position model. The record is from RNAcentral.
UACAGAGGGGGCAAGCGUUGUUCGGAAUUACUGGGCGUAAAGGGCGCGUAGGCGGCCUGUUAAGUCGAACGUGAAAUCCCCGGGCUCGACCCGGGAACUGCGUCCGAUACUGGCAGGCUUGAAUCCGGGAGAGGGAUGCGGAAUUCCAGGUGUAGCGGUGAAAUGCGUAGAUAUCUGGAGGAACACCGGUGGCGAAGGCGGCAUCCUGGACCGGCAUUGACGCUGAGGCGCGAAAGCCAGGGGAGCAAACGGG